This is a long non-coding RNA of Amaranthus tricolor (Joseph's coat), 924 nucleotides long. RefSeq lists it as uncharacterized. The transcript is spliced from 4 exons. NCBI's taxonomy places the organism in Eukaryota, Viridiplantae, Streptophyta, Magnoliopsida, Caryophyllales, Amaranthaceae. The record is from RefSeq and is a predicted model, not a curated record.
UCAGCCUUCUUAAAAAGUUUGAUGUUAAUUGUGCUUCUUCCUCUCACCUAAACCACGACAUUACCUUCUCCCCCUCGGCCAAGCAAUACUCUUCUCACUUCUCAUAACCCUCACCGUAAACCCGUUGCACAACCCACCACCGCACAACCCCAAUUGGCUUUUAAAGCCCACGCCACCACCAAACCUGACACCACAGCAAAAAGUGUCAAACCCUAAAAUCCUGAAAUCCAAAUCUAAUAAAUUUUUCCCCAAAUUUUAAUCAAUUGAUUUGGGGUUUGUUUUUUCUUUGGAUUUUUUGCAUUCUAUUUUAAGGUAUUGGUUUGGAAUAUGUACAAAUUUCAAUGGAGGAAAUCGCAGGCCCAGAAUCGUUUCAUGAUUGGCGGAUAUUGAACCCAUCUUUUAUGGCCUGAUUCUGUACUAGUGCCACAAACUACAUCAAGGUUGUGAUUUUACAUCAAUUAAUAACUAUGGAUGUUAUUGAUAUUGAUAAUGAAAGACCAAAAUGAUAUUUGAGCCAAAAUUGUUUGAAACUCCACAAGUUGACCCCGAAAUGGUGGCUGCAACUGUUUUGGGUGGUGUUGGAACUUGUUUAUUUCCUGUUACAAGCAGGAGAGCUCUAUUUGUAUUGUGUGAUUUUCAUAAGAGUAUAUAAAUAAGGUUUUUGUUUGACGAUGACUUGGGUUUGUUUGCGAGGGAAUGGUGUUGUUAUCCAAGCGUGGCUUGCAGCCGAAUAUUGUGUAAUGUUGUGUUACGAUAUUAUAUGUUGCCUCAACAACUUUGUUUUAUUUAGGAUUUUGCUUACUUUCUUAUUUUAGUAUAUUGUAUAGGCUACUAACUUUUGCGUUAUAGUGUUUUGUUUCAUGUUUUUUGUAUUCUGGGCUUGGCUCAAAUUUUAUACCAAGUAAUUUACUGUCUAUAUUAGUA